Molecule: ribosomal RNA, 490 nt
Filed under: uncultured bacterium
Lineage: Bacteria
Description: partial 16S ribosomal RNA
Rfam family: Bacterial small subunit ribosomal RNA
Source: RNAcentral
GAUGAACGCUAGCUACAGGCUUAACACAUGCAAGUCGCGGGGCAGCAUGGGGGUUGCUUGCAAUCCCCGAUGGCGACCGGCGCACGGGUGAGUAACGCGUAUCCAACCUGCCCUUCACCACGGGAUAACCCGGCGAAAGUCGGACUAAUACCGUAUGUUGUCCAUUGACGGCAUCCGAUUUGGACGAAAGGUUUGGCGGUGAAGGAUGGGGAUGCGUCCGAUUAGCUGGACGGCGGGGUGACGGCCCACCGUGGCGACGAUCGGUAGGGGUUCUGAGAGGAAGGUCCCCCACACUGGAACUGAGACACGGUCCAGACUCCUACGGGAGGAAGCAGUGAGGAAUAUUGGUCAAUGGGCGUAAGCCUGAACCAGCCAAGUAGCGUGCAGGAUGACGGCCCUAUGGGUUGUAAACUGCUUUUAUGCGGGGAUAAAGUGGCCCACGUGUGGGUUUUUGCAGGUACCGCAUGAAUAAGGACCGGCUAAUUCCGUG